CGUUGUACGUUUUUAUGCUCUAAUUUCUUCGAAUCUAUAGACACUUACGAGUAUAUCGAGUUGAAGUUCUAUAAAAUACUCGUCUUUAUAUUGGAACGCGCCGCACGCCCGAACUCACGUCUCGGAAACCGGUUCCGUUGGCCGAACCCCUGCCACCGUUCGAACUGCGAGCGACGCGUCACGCGAGUCACCGAUGCCAGUGCGACCGGGGAAAGGAUUAUUACCGACCUACCGCGAACAGCUGAGCGCGUACUCUCGAGUUCUAUUUUUUCACAGUGAGGCCCUAAUACCGGCCACUUAAAAUAUAAAACUUUAAAUAUAUCUACUAAUUAAAUUCAGUGAACCCCAUAUCGGGGUUCAAGUUCAAGUUCAAGUUCAAGUUCAAGUUCAAGUCCAAGUCGAGUCUCCAGCUUCAAGCCUCCAGUUCCUGCUCAAGUACUUGUAAGCCACCGAGGCUGCGUUUUCUACUCUUCUUCUUCCUCUUCGUUCCUGCCUAAUGUCCUUGACGCCGUCAUCUAUCGACCGUCAGGAUUAGAAACGUUCCUGCCGAAGACCUUGACUGCCCUUGAGUCUCCGUCGGUCAGCUGCUACCCGGGAAGGAGACCGCGGGCCCCUACACAUCCGGAUACUGAGGCAGGAUAGUGGUGUUUCUCUAGCGACAUUCAAUUCCUCGCGCGCUCGAUAUUUUAAAACCACCCCCAGCUCAACCGACUAAUUGUUUUUUUCUCAAGAAUAAAUUGUUAAUCUCAU
Trichoplusia ni (cabbage looper) is the source of this 750-nucleotide long non-coding RNA. RefSeq lists it as uncharacterized. The transcript is spliced from 2 exons. The record is from RefSeq and is a predicted model, not a curated record. NCBI's taxonomy places the organism in Eukaryota, Metazoa, Arthropoda, Insecta, Lepidoptera, Noctuidae.